CCGCACGCGCGGCUCACUGACAAGGCCAACGAGUUUAUAACCUUCCCGGAUAGGUGUGGGUAAUCUUUUGAACCCUUGUGGUGCUGGGGCUAGAUCUUUGUAAUUUUCGAUCUUCAACGAGGAAUUCCUAGUAAGCGUGAUUCAUCAGAUCGCGUUGAUUACCUCCCUGCCCUUUGUACACACCCGUA
RNAcentral lists this ribosomal RNA (188 nucleotides) under uncultured eukaryote. RNAcentral's name for it is "partial 18S ribosomal RNA". It matches the Rfam family "Eukaryotic small subunit ribosomal RNA", at positions 1487 to 1677 of the family's 1831-position model. The record is from RNAcentral.